CAAUACUUUGGUGGCGACCGGCGCACGGGUGAGUAACACGUAUCCAACCUGCCCUUUACUCGGGGAUAGCCUUUCGAAAGAAAGAUUAAUACCCGAUGGCAUAAUGAUUCCGCAUGGUUUCAUUAUUAAAGGAUUCCGGUAAAGGAUGGGGAUGCGUUCCAUUAGGUUGUUGGUGAGGUAACGGCUCACCAAGCCUUCGAUGGAUAGGGGUUCUGAGAGGAAGGUCCCCCACAUUGGAACUGAGACACGGUCCAGACUCCUACGGGAGGCAGCAUG
Molecule: ribosomal RNA, 276 nt
Filed under: uncultured bacterium
Lineage: Bacteria
Description: partial 16S ribosomal RNA
Rfam family: Bacterial small subunit ribosomal RNA
Source: RNAcentral